This 277-nucleotide long non-coding RNA is filed under the name Homo sapiens (human). RNAcentral's name for it is "non-protein coding lnc-TRPS1-3:1". The record is from RNAcentral. Lineage: Eukaryota; Metazoa; Chordata; Mammalia; Primates; Hominidae.
GGCCCAAAGAAAAGGCCCAACCUGGCUCUGCUGUAGAACAUGGCUCUGUACCUCAUUCAAAUGUGGAAGAUCUUUGAGGCCAUAGAAGAAGAAGACUCCUUGGGUUUCACAGUCAAAGGACCAGCAAUGAUUCUAAAUCUCCAGUCCACAAUCAUGUGUUACCUUCAAGUGUUGUAAUUCAGAGGAGUGAGAAAGGUUCUCAGAAGGAAAAACACCCAUGAGGCUCCAUCACCGCAGCUCAGUGACGCUUUGCUGCCACGGCCCUGCCUGAGUUUGA